This 492-nucleotide ribosomal RNA is filed under the name uncultured bacterium. RNAcentral's name for it is "partial 16S ribosomal RNA". It matches the Rfam family "Bacterial small subunit ribosomal RNA", at positions 29 to 507 of the family's 1533-position model. The record is from RNAcentral.
AGUGAACGCUGGCGGUAGGCCUAACACAUGCAAGUCGAACGGCAGCACAGUAAGAGCUUGCUCUUACGGGUGGCGAGUGGCGGACGGGUGAGGAAUACAUCGGAAUCUACUUUUUCGUGGGGGUUAACGUAGGGAAACUUACGCUAAUACCGCAUACGACCUACGGGUGGAAGCAGGGGAUCUUCGGACCUUGCGCGAUUGAAUGAGCCGAUGUCGGAUUAGCUAGUUGGCGGGGUAAAGGCCCACCAAGGCGACGAUCCGUAGCUGGUCUGAGAGGAUGAUCAGCCACACUGGAACUGAGACACGGUCCAGACUCCUACGGGAGGCAGCAGUGGGGAAUAUUGGACAAUGGGCGCAAGCCUGAUCCAGCCAUACCGCGUGGGUGAAGAAGGCCUUCGGGUUGUAAAGCCCUUUUGUUGGGAAAGAAAAGCAGCAGGUUAAUACCCCGCUGUUCUGACGGUACCCAAAGAAUAAGCACCGGCUAACUUCGUG